GAUGAAGGCAUUCACAUUCAUCUUCUCUUCUUUCCCACAACUUUGAAUAGUAUUCUCUCUCUCUCUCUCUCUCUCUCUCUGAAAAUGAAUCUCUAUCCCUUGCAAAAGAUCUCUUUUCUCCUUGUGAUCACAAGUACUAUAUGCCUAUUGUAUAUUCCAAGAUCUUUGGGUGAGGAGGAUGAUGAGCAAUACCUCAAGUGCAGCGCUUCGUUUCAAUGCGCAAAUUUUCCGAAUAUUGGUUACCCUUUUUGGGGAUCAAGCCGGCCCAAUUAUUGUGGCUACCCGGAAUUCAAGUUGAACUGCAUCGGGGACGCCCCGGUGAUCUCAUUCCAGGACAAAGAUUAUCGAGUCCUGGAUAUCAACCAAAGUGCAAGUACUCUUAGAAUCGCUAGGACAGACUACUGGAACAACGUUUGUCCUGUGUCACCUGGCAACACCACAAUAGAAGUAAACCGUGUAGAAUAUGCUUCAGAUGUUCAAGAACUAUUGCUGUUCUAUGACUGCCCCCCACUCAAUAUUCCUCUUCCAAUUCAGCUAACAAGUCAGUUCAACUGCAGCAUAAACAGCACUGCCAAUUACAUCAAUUACUUUGUCACACAAAACCUCACGAAUUCUGGGCUCACGAAUAUUAGUAGUACCUUUGGAACGUGCCACACGACCGUCACUGCCCGCGUUUCGCAAUCAGCGCGUGAAAAUUUGGCGAUGAAUUCCACCAAGGACAAUCUAGUUGCCGUUCUUGAUUCUGGGUUUGGGUUGAAAUGGGAUGCAAGUAAUAACUUGUGUAAGCAAUGUAACGAAACUGGUGGUCAGUGCGGGUACAAUACAUCUACAGCUGAGUUCACCUGCUAUUGCAAGGAUGGACCUAAUCCCUCGAACUGUGCAGGAAAAAAGAAGACAAUAGCAAUAGGUCUUGCUGUAGCAGGUGCAAUCCUUUUUGGCAUUUUCAUAGGAUUCUAUAUAUAUUCUUUCAUACAAAAAAAGAAGAAGAAACUUGCUGCACUAGCUAAAAGCAAAGAGAUUCCGACACCCCUCACGAGCAAAAGCGUUGCUACUCCCUCAACUAAUCUCUCUCAAUCUCAAAGCAUCCCUUCUUAUCCUUCCUUUACUUCAAAGUCAGACUAUGAUAAGGGGAGCACUUACUUUGGAGUUCAGGUCUUCAGCUAUACUGAAUUAGAGGAAGCCACUGAAAAUUUCAAUCCUGCUAAAGAACUUGGAGACGGAGGAUUUGGCACUGUUUACUAUGGUAAGCUACAGGAUGGCCGUGUAGUUGCAGUGAAGCGCCUUUAUGAGAACAAUUUCAAACGUGUGGAGCAGUUUAUGAAUGAGGUCGAGAUCUUAACUCGUCUCGAACACCGGAACCUUGUCAAGCUGUACGGAUGCACCUCAAGACACAGCCGAGAACUCCUCCUUGUUUACGAGUAUAUUCCUAAUGGAACAGUGGCUGACCAUCUCCAUGGGAAAAGAGUCGAAUCUGGGUUUCUUAGUUGGCCUGUUCGAUUGAGCAUCGCCAUAGAGACAGCUGAUGCACUGGCUUUCCUUCACCGCAAUGAUGUAAUACACCGUGAUGUCAAGACCAACAAUAUUCUCAUAGACAACGACUUUUGUGUGAAGGUCGCUGAUUUUGGGCUGUCCAGAUUGUUCCCCAAUGAUGUCACGCAUGUUUCAACUGCUCCACAAGGGACCCCCGGCUAUGUUGAUCCUGAGUAUUACCAAUGCUAUCAACUCACGGACAAGAGUGAUGUAUAUAGCUUUGGUGUGGUCUUGAUCGAGCUCAUAUCAUCAUUACAAGCAGUGGAUACCAAUAGGCACCGGCAUGAUAUAAAUUUGGCCAACAUGGCUAUCAACAAAAUUCAAAAUCAUUUAGUGAAUGAGUUGGUUGAUCCUCUUCUUGAGUUCGAAACGAACCAUGUUGUUAGGAGGAUGGCAACAGCAGUGGCAGAAUUGGCCUUCCGAUGUUUGCAACAGGAGAGGGACAUGAGGCCAACCAUGGACGAAGUGUUAGAUGGUUUGAGAGCAAUCCAGAAUGAAGAUCUUGGUUCAGAAGACGGUCAAGCAGUUGUGCUGGAUAUCGGGGCAGAUGACGUUGGACUCUUGAGGAACAUGCCUCCUCCACUCUCACCAGACUCAGCUGGAACUGAUAAAUUGGUUAGCAGCUCUACCCCACCUAGUUCCUUUUAGCACUUCAGAUUUCCAUAUCCUCCCAUAUCCUCCUCUUUCCUGCUUUUUGGGUUUAUAAGAGGUGGGACAAAACUAUUUAACCCAACUGGUGAUGGUGGAAGCUCAGACUCAGAGUUCAACAAAAUCUCAUGGUGGAUUGAUUUUGUAACUUUUAAGUUGUAAAUGCAGGAAAGCACCAUUGUCGUGCGCGGAUGGUGGACUAACUUUUGGUACAAUACUUUCUUCGCUACAAGGUGCGGCAGAGAUGGCCUUUGUUGUCAUGUCACUACGAUAUUUUGGGUUUUGGUUUUGCCUUUUUUUUUCUUCUAUACAAUUAUGUAUAAUUAUACAUUUAUAUAUGCACAAUCAACUUACAAUUGUUUGAGUA
This is an RNA transcript of Prunus dulcis (almond), 2545 nucleotides long. It is a transcript of the gene named LEAF RUST 10 DISEASE-RESISTANCE LOCUS RECEPTOR-LIKE PROTEIN KINASE-like 1.3, with no coding region annotated. The transcript is spliced from 5 exons. The record is from RefSeq and is a predicted model, not a curated record. NCBI's taxonomy places the organism in Eukaryota, Viridiplantae, Streptophyta, Magnoliopsida, Rosales, Rosaceae.